AGCUCUGUCCAUCUCUCUCCUUGUGAUAGGGGCAGUUCUAGAAGCACUCCUUGGCUUCCAUUAAUAAAGGUUAGCUGUUACAUUAGGCAGACCAGUAUACUCU
Callorhinus ursinus (northern fur seal) is the source of this 103-nucleotide non-coding RNA. Lineage: Eukaryota; Metazoa; Chordata; Mammalia; Carnivora; Otariidae. The record is from RefSeq and is a predicted model, not a curated record.